GGAAGAGUUAGCCCAUGGAAAAGAGUGAGGAGUUCACCAAAAAUGUCAUUAUCGAGGAGGAUUCCAUUAAAGCUUUUUAAAGAAACAAUCAAUCUGACAGACAAAUCUAUAACUGGCAUGGAAUUCGGACGUCAUAGAAUAGUCCCGAGCUUGCCUAGUCAAUGGUCCGGGUCAUUUGAAUACAUAUAAUACAGAAGAAUAGUAACCGAGUUCAUUCAACACAUAUGUAGAGUAUGUGAUAAAGGGGACUCGGACAAAGGCACAAUGCAGAAGAUGGGUAUAGUACGUUCCUGUUCCAACUGCUGCCAAUUACAUUUGUCUAUUGUCUGUUGGCAUCAAUUAUUGAAACAAGCCAA
This is a long non-coding RNA of Amaranthus tricolor (Joseph's coat), 356 nucleotides long. RefSeq lists it as uncharacterized. NCBI's taxonomy places the organism in Eukaryota, Viridiplantae, Streptophyta, Magnoliopsida, Caryophyllales, Amaranthaceae. The record is from RefSeq and is a predicted model, not a curated record. The transcript is spliced from 3 exons.